UACAGAGGGGGCAAGCGUUAUUCGGAAUUAUUGGGCGUAAAGGGCGCGUAGGCGGCCUGGCAAGUGGAAGGUGAAAUCCCUCGGCUUAACCGAGGAACUGCCCUCCAAACUGCUUCGCUUGAGACCGGGAGAGGUGAGUGGAAUUCCCAGUGUAGCGGUGAAAUGCGUAGAUAUUGGGAGGAACACCAGUGGCGAAGGCGGCUCACUGGACCGGUACUGACGCUGAUGCGCGAAAGCGUGGGGAGCAAACGGG
RNAcentral lists this ribosomal RNA (253 nucleotides) under uncultured bacterium. RNAcentral's name for it is "partial 16S ribosomal RNA". It matches the Rfam family "Bacterial small subunit ribosomal RNA", at positions 524 to 776 of the family's 1533-position model. The record is from RNAcentral.